This 468-nucleotide ribosomal RNA is filed under the name uncultured bacterium. Its description in RNAcentral is "partial 16S ribosomal RNA". It matches the Rfam family "Bacterial small subunit ribosomal RNA", at positions 28 to 507 of the family's 1533-position model. The record is from RNAcentral.
GACGAACGCUGGCGGCGUGCUUAACACAUGCAAGUCGAACGGAAAGGCCCUGCUUUUGUGGGGUGCUCGAGUGGCGAACGGGUGAGUAACACGUGAGUAACCUGCCCUUGACUUUGGGAUAACUUCAGGAAACUGGGGCUAAUACCGGAUAGGAGCUCCUGCUGCAUGGUGGGGGUUGGAAAGUUUCGGCGGUUGGGGAUGGACUCGCGGCUUAUCAGCUUGUUGGUGGGGUAGUGGCUUACCAAGGCUUUGACGGGUAGCCGGCCUGAGAGGGUGACCGGCCACAUUGGGACUGAGAUACGGCCCAGACUCCUACGGGAGGCAGCAGGGGGAAAUAUUGCACAAUGGGCGGAAGCCUGAUGCAGCAACGCCGCGUGCGGGAUGACGGCCUUCGGGUUGUAAACCGCUUUCGCCUGUGACGAAGCGGGAGUGACGGUAAUGGGUAAAGAAGCACCGGCUAACUACGUG